GAUGAACGCUGGCGGCGUGCCUAAUACAUGCAAGUCGAGCGAACAGACGAGGAGCUUGCUCCUCUGCCGUUAGCGGCCACCGGGUGAGUUACACGUGGAUUACCUACCUAUAAGACUGGCUUAACUUCGUGACACCGGAGCUAAUACCGGAUAAUAUAUUGAACCGCAUGGUUCAAUAGUGAAAGACGGGUUUGCUGUCACUUUUAGAUGGUUCCACGCCGCAUUAGGUAGUUGGUAAGGUAACGGCUUACCAAGGCAACGGUGCGGAGCCAACCUGAGAGGGUGAACGGCCACACUGGAACUGAGACACGGUCGAGACUCCGAGGGGAGGACGCAGUAGAGAAUCUUCCGCGAGGGGGGAAAGCCUGACGGAGCAACGCCGCGUGAGUGAUGAAGGUCUUCGGAUGGUAAAGCGCUGUUAGUAGGAAAGAACAAAUGUGUAAGUAACUAUGCACGUAUUGACGGUACCGAAUCAGAAAGCCACGGCUAACUACGUG
Molecule: ribosomal RNA, 497 nt
Filed under: uncultured bacterium
Lineage: Bacteria
Description: partial 16S ribosomal RNA
Rfam family: Bacterial small subunit ribosomal RNA
Source: RNAcentral